CCAGGCUUUCCCGAAGGCCCCUCCCACCUCCACACCAGGACUGAGCACGCAGGCUGAGUGGGUUAGGUUUCUUUUCCUCAUUGCUAAAAAGCAAGCUUCCAAGAAUAUUUCUGACUAAACUGCAAAGUCAAAGAUAAAAUAAUUACUGAGCAAGUCUGUUAUUUUAUGCCAUUCCUUUCCUACGAGCUAAUCUACUUUGUGAAGUAGUCUAUGAUCUCGUGAAAUGGAAGAAAGAAACUGUCAACCCCAAACUCACAUUUCAUUCUAAGUUCUACAGAUUAGCUCAUUAGCCGCUCAAAUCUCCAUGGAGGACAAACCAGGACACCAGGCGCAGGGGAGCUGUGCAGGGCCGGCCGGAACGGGGAUCUUUUCUUUAAAGGCCUGUGGUGCCGAUCAUUCUUAAAAAGUAUCAGUCUUAAACUGAAAUUAAAACUCAUGCACACAGAGCGCUUAGAGGCUUUCUAACUAAGGCCUUUACUGCAAGGCGCAUGCUGUAAAUGCGUCUUGGGGGCUUAGUUUUGGCUGCUUUCUGCUUCCCCCCAACCCACGCUGCGGUCCCUCACCAAGUCCAGCCCACUGGAGAGCAUCACAGAUGUCUUUUGGACCAAGUCUUCUGAUCUCAGAUGCUGAUCCUACAAGUGUCUGUAUCCCACGUCUGGCUUGGCGACUGCUUUCGAGAAGCCCAAUCAACAACGUUUGCUGGUGCAUGAGUGUGUGUGUGUGUGUGUGUGCACAUGUGUAAGUGUGUGAGCAAGCAUGUCACUGUGUGUGUUUGCAACCAUGUGUGUCAGUGCAUGUGUGAGUGAAAACAGAGGAGCAAAUUUAACUCCACAGAAUUACAUCUUCAGCGAACCAGCUUGGCUGACAUGUGCCCAACGUUCAACAUGGGAAUUCAAUCCACGACAGCAUUUACUCCAGCUCCGCUCCCCCAGGGACACCUGGUGAGCAGUGCCUUGGGGUUGUGACCACAGUGGCCUGUGCUCCCGAGACACCCUGGUCAGUACUUCUCAACACCGGCAGGCGUUACAGGAAGUGCGCGGCCCCCGGUGGAUGAGCAGACUCCCGCUCCCGGCUGCUCGACCCCUGCGCCCCAGGUGAGGGCACGGCCUCUGUCCCCCCACGCUGUGCUUUUCCAGGCUGUCUUCUCUCAGCUCC
This 1155-nucleotide long non-coding RNA is filed under the name Bos indicus x Bos taurus (hybrid cattle). RNAcentral's name for it is "lncRNA (ENSBIXG00000000168.1)". The record is from RNAcentral. Lineage: Eukaryota; Metazoa; Chordata; Mammalia; Artiodactyla; Bovidae.